CAAAUUCUCUCCUGGCUGUAAAAUCAUGGAAUUCCAGGUAAGGGAAGGAAGGUGAUGGGAAUCUAUUCAUAGUAUUCAAAGAAAACAACCAGGAAAAGAAAUGGGUUUAAAUGAAAGGAAAACAAGAUGUACAAUUAAACAUGUGCUCAUCUCCUUAGCUGUUCAUUAGGCCUCCUUAGAUAUCAUAAAAGUAUGACUUACACCUGUUCACUGGGGACAGUUUGGGCAUAACAGCUACCAUUGAUUUGGUGCUUCUGAUGUGUUUACUACUAUAUUUAACAGUUCACACAUUUUAUUUCACUUAGUGCUCAAGACCUGUGGGUAGGUGUGAGGAUCGUCCCCACUUUGAGAGGAACUAAAUGAAGCCUCCCGAGAUGUUACUGAUUGAGGAACAAAUAUCUAGUGUUUACAGAAAUAAAAGCUCUAUUACAUUUCCUCAUGUCAGAGUAUUCAUAGGGUUUAUGUGCUUCUCUGGGAAGAAAAGGAAAUACAACUGUUUUGCAGUACCUCCAGGCCCAGGUCACCUCUGUCCUCCCUUCCGUCCAUCCCUGGAGCCUCCAACGCCACUGUGAGAGAAAAGAACCGUGCCAAUCUGAGAAAAUCCAAGGGAGAUCUUUUUUGCAAGGCGGAUACAAAUGAAAACAUUGCAAGGCUUUGUUUCCACUUCUCAAUCAGAAAAUGGAUUUAUGAAGGCAGCUGUCUGGUUCAAGGGCAUGCAAGAAGACAUUCAACUCCCUGGAGAAAAGAAAACACAACAAAACGAUGAAGUUUUAUUAACAGGUUAUUUUGAGUCUGUUUCUUCAAAUUCCAGUUCAAAAGUUUGGACCAGGAUAAAUUGAGAGAAAAAACCUUGCCGUGAUUUUGCAAAGUUGGAGCCAGGGAACACACACGCAAGCCUUGAGUCUUUGCAUGGCAGGUUUUUUCAAGUCAGAUUUCCGGUUCAACUAUUGAGCAAAGUAAGGAAUACCAAGCAGAAUUUGAACUUUGCUGUUCAAGUUGUGGGAAGUUGGAGUUGGGAGCCGUUGGAUAGCAGAGGUCUCGCUGAGCUCAGUGACUGUUCAGCAUCAUUGUUCCAGCACUGGAAACACAAAGGGAGGAAAAGCAGUCCAACAGCAGGAGUGCUUGUAUACCACGCAGCUCCAUGCCGUAUCUUUUGAACAAAGAAUGAACCCAAGGAUGAAAAGCAGCCAGAAAGACUACAGAUGCCCCAGGAGAGCCUCUUCCCAUGCCUCACUCUGCCUCAGAGUCCCUGGCACUGGCGUCUGAGUGAGGAAGCAAGAGAGGUGAUCCUGAAGUCCUUAACUGCCCCGUAAGUUACCUGAAAGCCUGCUGUCCUCCCAGGACCUGUCCAAGCUGCACCUGAGGGAGAGAAGCCCACCUGCUCCAGCUCUUCCAGAGUAACAGCACUGACACAGGUGUUCCGUUAAAACCAGCAACCAACCCAGGAAGAUUGGAAUGGACUUGG
Molecule: long non-coding RNA, 1465 nt
Filed under: Heterocephalus glaber (naked mole-rat)
Lineage: Eukaryota; Metazoa; Chordata; Mammalia; Rodentia; Bathyergidae
Description: lncRNA (ENSHGLG00100048536.1)
Source: RNAcentral